AGAGUUUGAUCCUGGCUCAGGAUGAACGCUAGCGGCAGGCUUAACACAUGCAAGUCGAGGGGCAGCACGAUGUAGCAAUACAUUGGUGGCGACCGGCGCACGGGUGCGUAACACGUAUGGAACUUGCCCUUUACUGGAGGAUAGCCCGGAGAAAUCCGGAUUAAUACUCCAUAACAAUCGAGGUGGCAUCACCUUGAUUUGAAAGCUCCGGCGGUAAAGGAUGGCCAUGCGCACGAUUAGCUAGUUGGUGAGGUAAUGGCUCACCAAGGCUACGAUCGUUAGGGGGCCUGAGAGGGUUAUCCCCCACACUGGUACUGAGACACGGACCAGACUCCUACGGGAGGCAGCAGUGAGGAAUAUUGCGCAAUGGAGGCAACUCUGACGCAGCCAUGCCGCGUGCAGGAAGAAGGCGCUACGCGUUGUAAACUGCUUUUAACCGGGAAGAAACCCCAGGACGUGUCCUGGGUUGACGGUACCGGAGGAAUAAGCACCGGCUAACUUCGUGCCAGCAGCCGCGGUAAU
This 522-nucleotide ribosomal RNA is filed under the name uncultured soil bacterium. RNAcentral's name for it is "bacterial SSU rRNA". It matches the Rfam family "Bacterial small subunit ribosomal RNA", at positions 8 to 524 of the family's 1533-position model. The record is from RNAcentral.